Molecule: unclassified non-coding RNA, 338 nt
Filed under: soil metagenome
Description: partial contains 5.8S ribosomal RNA, internal transcribed spacer 2, and large subunit ribosomal RNA
Rfam family: 5.8S ribosomal RNA (bases 1-120)
Source: RNAcentral
GAUGAAGAACGUAGCGAAAUGCGAUAAGUAAUGUGAAUUGCAGAAUUCAGUGAAUCAUCGAAUCUUUGAACGCACAUUGCGCCCGGCAGUACUCUGCCGGGCAUGCCUGUUCGAGCGUCAUUUCAACCCUCAAGCCCUGCUUGGUGUUGGGGCCCCACGGCUGCCGUGGGCCCUGAAAGGAAGUGGUGGGCUCGCUACAACUCCGAGCGUAGUAAUUCAUUAUCUCGCUUAGGGCGUUGGGCGGCGCUCCAGCCGUUAAAGAACCAUCUUUAACUCAAGGUUGACCUCGGAUCAGGUAGGAAUACCCGCUGAACUUAAGCAUAUCAAUAAGCGGAGGA